RNAcentral lists this ribosomal RNA (489 nucleotides) under uncultured bacterium. RNAcentral describes it as "partial 16S ribosomal RNA". It matches the Rfam family "Bacterial small subunit ribosomal RNA", at positions 30 to 507 of the family's 1533-position model. The record is from RNAcentral.
AUUGAACGCUGGCGGCAGGCCUAACACAUGCAAGUCGAAUGGUAACAGGAAACAGCUUGCUGUUUCGCUGACGAGUGGCGGACGGGUGAGUAAUGUCUGGGAAACUGCCUGAUGGAGGGGGAUAACUACUGGAAACGGUAGCUAAUACCGCAUAACGUCGCAAGACCAAAGAGGGGGACCUUCGGGCCUCUUGCCAUCAGAUGUGCCCAGAUGGGAUUAGCUAGUAGGUGGGGUAACGGCUCACCUAGGCGACGAUCCCUAGCUGGUCUGAGAGGAUGACCAGCCACACUGGAACUGAGACACGGUCCAGACUCCUACGGGAGGCAGCAGUGGGGAAUAUUGCACAAGGGGCGCAAGCCUGAUGCAGCCAUGCCGCGUGUAUGAAGAAGGCCUUCGGGUUGUAAAGUACUUUCAGCGGGGAGGAAGGGAGUAAGUUAAUACCUUUGCUCAUUGACGUUACCCGCAGAAGAAGCACCGGCUAACUCCGUG